GGAGUAAUGGCGGAAUGGUAGACGCUACAAAGUGCAUAGCAUUGUUAGGGUGAAAGACCCUAAGGGUUAAUAGGUUUAAAAGAAAGCCGACAAGGAAGAUGCACAAAACCUAUAAUGCAGGUUCGAAUCCUGCUUGCUCCA
RNAcentral lists this transfer RNA (141 nucleotides) under Bacillus cereus. RNAcentral describes it as "tRNA-OTHER". It matches the Rfam family "tRNA". Rfam says of the family: Transfer RNA (tRNA) molecules are approximately 80 nucleotides in length. Lineage: Bacteria; Bacillati; Bacillota; Bacilli; Caryophanales; Bacillaceae. The record is from RNAcentral.